AGCGAUUUACUUCGGUAAAGAGCGGCGGACGGGUGAGUAACGCGUGGGUAACCUACCCUGUACACACGGAUAACAUACCGAAAGGUAUGCUAAUACGGGAUAAUAUAUUUGAGAGGCAUCUCUUGAACAUCAAAGGUGAGCCAGUACAGGAUGGACCCGCGUCUGAUUAGCUAGUUGGUAAGGUAACGGCUUACCAAGGCGACGAUCAGUAGCCGACCUGGGAGGGUGAUCGGCCACAUUGGAACUGAGACACGG
This 255-nucleotide ribosomal RNA is filed under the name Clostridioides difficile. RNAcentral describes it as "partial 16S ribosomal RNA". It matches the Rfam family "Bacterial small subunit ribosomal RNA", at positions 65 to 329 of the family's 1533-position model. Lineage: Bacteria; Bacillati; Bacillota; Clostridia; Peptostreptococcales; Peptostreptococcaceae. The record is from RNAcentral.